GUUAGGAAAUGCAGGUGCGUUAAUAGCGCACUUGCUUGACUAAGGCUCCAGAGGAAGCCACGGCUAACUCUGUGCCAGCAGCCGCGGUAAUACAGAGGCGGCAAGCGUUGUUCGGAAUUAUUGGGCGUAAAGAGCACGUAGGCGGCCUUGCAAGUCAGCUGUGAAAGCCUUCCGCUUAACGGAAGAACGGCAUCUGAUACUACAGGGCUUGAGUACGGGAGGGGAGAGUGGAACUUCUGGU
Molecule: ribosomal RNA, 241 nt
Filed under: uncultured anaerobic ammonium-oxidizing bacterium
Lineage: Bacteria
Description: partial 16S ribosomal RNA
Rfam family: Bacterial small subunit ribosomal RNA
Source: RNAcentral